This 497-nucleotide ribosomal RNA is filed under the name uncultured bacterium. RNAcentral describes it as "partial 16S ribosomal RNA". It matches the Rfam family "Bacterial small subunit ribosomal RNA", at positions 28 to 507 of the family's 1533-position model. The record is from RNAcentral.
GAUGAACGCUGGCGGCGUGCCUAAUACAUGCAAGUCGAGCGAACAGACGAGGAGCUUGCUCCUCUGACGUUAGCGGCGGACGGGUGAGUAACACGUGGAUAACCUACCCAUAAGACUGGGAUAACUUCGGGAAACCGGAGCUAAUACCGGAUAAUAUAUUGAACCGCAUGGUUCAAUAGUGAAAGACGGUUUUGCUGUCACUUAUGGAUGGAUCCGCGCCGCAUUAGCUAGUUGGUAAGGUAACGGCUUACCAAGGCAACGAUGCGUAGCCGACCUGAGAGGGUGAUCGGCCACACUGGAACUGAGACACGGUCCAGACUCCUACGGGAGGCAGCAGUAGGGAAUCUUCCGCAAUGGGCGAAAGCCUGACGGAGCAACGCCGCGUGGGUGAUGAAGGUCUUCGGAUCGUAAAACUCUGUUAUUAGGGAAGAACAAAUGUGUAAGUAACUAUGCACGUCUUGACGGUACCUAAUCAGAAAGCCACGGCUAACUACGUG